Molecule: ribosomal RNA, 443 nt
Filed under: uncultured bacterium
Lineage: Bacteria
Description: bacterial SSU rRNA
Rfam family: Bacterial small subunit ribosomal RNA
Source: RNAcentral
AGAGUUUGAUCCUGGCUCAGGAUGAACGCUGGCGGCGUGGAUAAGGCAUGCAAGUCAAACGAUCCUUGUGUUUACAUAAGGGUAGUGGCAAACGGGGUAGUAACAGGUAGGAACAUACCCAUGAGUCAUGAAUAACUAUAGGAAACUAUAGCUAAUACAUGAUAUCCCUACGGGGGAAAGAUUUAUCGCUCAUGGAAUGGCCUGCUUCGUAUCAGCUAGUUGGUAGUGUAAUGGACUACCAAGGCUAUGACGCGUAGGGGAGCUGAGAGGCUGACCCCCACCAUUGGAACUGCGACACGGUCCAAACUCCUACGGGAGGCUGCAGUCGAGAAUCUUCCGCAAUGCACGAAAGUGUGACGGAGGGACGCCGCGUGAUGGAUGAAGUCCCUCGGGAUGUAAACAUCUUUUAUACGCGAAGUAAGUAUAUGACACUGGUGUAGAGU